This 484-nucleotide ribosomal RNA is filed under the name uncultured bacterium. Its description in RNAcentral is "partial 16S ribosomal RNA". It matches the Rfam family "Bacterial small subunit ribosomal RNA", at positions 30 to 507 of the family's 1533-position model. The record is from RNAcentral.
AUUGAACGCUGGCGGCAGGCCUAACACAUGCCAGUCGAGCGGAUGAAGGGUGCUUGCUCCUGGAUUCAGCGGCGGACGGGUGAGUAAUGCCUAUGAAUCUGCCUGGUAGUGGGGGAUAACGUCCUGAAACGGGCGCUAAUACCGCAUACGUCCUGAGGGAGAAAGUGGGGGAUCUUCGGACCUCACGCUAUCAGAUGAGCCUAGGUCGGAUUAGCUAGUUGGUGGGGUAAAGGCCUACCAAGGCGACGAUCCGUAACUGGUCUGAGAGGAUGAUCAGUCACACUGGAAGUGAGACACGGUCAAGACUCCUACGGGAGGGAGCAGUGGGGAAUAUUGGACAGUGGGCGAAAGCAUGAUCCAGCCAUGCCGCGUGUGUGAAGAAGGUCUUCGGAGUGUAAAGACCUUUAAGUUGGGAGGAAGGGCAGUAAGUUAAUACCUUGCUGUUUUGACGGUACCAAGAGAAGAAGCACCGGCUAACUUCGUG